Molecule: long non-coding RNA, 1001 nt
Filed under: Chrysemys picta bellii (western painted turtle)
Lineage: Eukaryota; Metazoa; Chordata; Testudines; Emydidae
Description: lncRNA (ENSCPBG00000017426.1)
Source: RNAcentral
UCUCUGGUUUUGCUCGGCCUGCAUAUGUGAAUUCUAGAUGUUCUCUAACUGAGGCCCCUGUUCACUCCCUGUCCAUCUGCCACACCUUAGCCUGCUUUCCUAAGCAAUCAGCAUAGACCACGACAUUCAUGUCUGCCUGGUGGGGGAAACCUGAACCACUCCUUUGCCUUUCCAGAGGGACGGGACACCAACAGUGGCACUGCGUACAGGGCAAAUUGGGAACCUUAUCGUCCCAAAGAGGCCCAUGCUAAGCUGUGAGGAAUGCUCAGGGUAGCAAGGCCAAUAUAUUCUUAGUCACAGCCAUCUCCAGAGGCUGCAGACAAGCCGGGUUUAGCCCCAGAGUGGUAACUGUCUCGUGAUGAGUAGGACAGGAGGAAAAAGUCCUUGCCACCAUGAUGUACAUAGCACUCAGCAUCCACAUCUUGAGUCCAAGCUCCUGAGGUGUGUGGCUGUGAAUACUCAGCACCUGGUUCAUUCAUCUCAGUCCCAGGCAAUUUGUCUGUCCAGUUCUUAGCCUGAAACACUCAACCACUCAACUCACUGGAACAGCAGAUCAGAGCUGGCCAGGGAUGGGCCCAGAGCGGUGGCUCAGUAGAUCCUGACUGGCUAAGGACCCGACAGCCACACCUCAGAGUGCAAAAACCAGGCAAGAAACAAAAAAACAAUUCCCAUGUGAUUGACAGUCCACUUGACACCCGUCUCAUACAGGAGCACCAUUGUAAGAGAGGCAGAUCUAGAACACCCUGUGGGGUGAAUGCAGGCUACUUAUGCUUCAGCCACUUUCUCUCCACUAUCACCACUGGCCAACCCACCUCGGAGCUCUCUGAAUGAUUCGCUGCGCCUGUGACCCCGCACAGCCCAGGUGAAUGAAAGCCGUGGGCUGAUCUGUGCAGGUCUCCUGUAUGUCCUGUCCCCUUGACAUUCCCCGCGAGGAGAGAAAGCAGCCAGCAUGAUCAGGGCUGGUCUAGUCCAGCAAUGCAGCUGUUUAGGCUACAUUUCUC